ACGGCUACCUUGUUACGACUUCACCCUAAUCAUCUGUCCUACCUUAGACGGCUGACUCCUAUAAAGGUUAUCCCACCGGCUUUGGGUGUUACAGACUCUCAUGGUGUGACGGGCGGUGUGUACAAGGCCCGGGAACGUAUUCACCGCGGCGUGCUGAUCCGCGAUUACUAGCGAUUCCAGCUUCGUGUAGGCGAGUUGCAGCCUACAGUCCGAACUGAGAACGGCUUUAAGAGAUCCGCUUGCCUUCGCAGGUUCGCUUCUCGUUGUACCGUCCAUUGUAGCACGUGUGUAGCCCAGGUCAUAAGGGGCAUGAUGACUUGACGUCAUCCCCACCUUCCUCCGGUUUGUCACCGGCAGUCUCAUUAGAGUGCCCAACUUAAUGAUGGCAACUAAUGACAAGGGUUGCGCUCGUUGCGGGACUUAACCCAACAUCUCACGACACGAGCUGACGACAGCCAUGCACCACCUGUCUCAGCGUCCCCG
RNAcentral lists this ribosomal RNA (483 nucleotides) under uncultured bacterium. RNAcentral's name for it is "partial 16S ribosomal RNA". The record is from RNAcentral.